Molecule: RNA transcript, 1669 nt
Organism: Triticum dicoccoides
Lineage: Eukaryota; Viridiplantae; Streptophyta; Magnoliopsida; Poales; Poaceae
Gene name: protein MULTIPOLAR SPINDLE 1-like
Exons: 12
Source: RefSeq, a predicted model, not a curated record
AAAUUUCAAAUUGCGCUCUCUUGUGCUUCCGGUUCUCAUCUGGGCUUUCGCUCUCUCCCUCCUGCUCGUCGCCGAAAUCGCCAUGGCUCCCGCCUCCCGCCCGCCGACGGCGACGCCGCUGGCCGCAUCCUCGUCCCGGAUAGACUCGCCAUCGCUGAAGGCAGCCCUCGCAAUGGCUCUCAUCCACUACAAACGCCUCCCCUCGACAACCGCCGCCGCCGCGGGCACCUCCUCCCCGCCUCUUAUCCACUGGAAGCGCAAGGCUAAGGAGCGGAAGCGCGAGAUCCUCCGCCUCCGCGAAGAGCUCAAGCUCCUCCAAGAUGGGGUGCGAGGGGAGGCGAUGGAGCCGCCGGUUGCAUCAUGCCGCUGCCACUUCUUUGACGGGUGCAGCGACCUGCAGCCGCCGCCGCCAACGGGUGGAGGAGAACAUUGGGUCGACGAGGUGCUGCGGAGGAGGUUCCUCAGAUUGGCGCGGUGGAAGGAGAAGCGACGGAGACUGGAUCGAUCUCUUCCCGUCACUAGUUUGAUGGACUUCAAUAGCGAGGAUGAGAUACAACAGCUUAGCUUGUCAACUGAUUUCCUGGUGGAGCUAUCAGAUGGGAUUUUUGCGAAAAGAGAACCUUGCUCCACAUUUGGUACAUUCUCUCACCAAGCAGUAGACUUCAUUUUGGCUUUAUUGAAGAACAUUCUAUCGUCGAAAAGGGAAAAGGAACUGGUUGAGGAGAUAAUUGAUGGUUUAGUGACACGUUUGAUGAAAAGGAUGUGCACCAUUCCUGAAAAUGCUGGUACUUCAGAUUCAGGGCCAGUUGACUGCUCAGAUGCCCAAUUCAAUGUGCAGCACUUGUUCCGCAAGUUAGGAAAUGAAGAGUUCAUUGGUCAGCGGAUAAUCCUUGCAGUUUCUCAAAAGAUCUCAAAUGUAUCAGAAAGCUUGCUUCUCUUAGAUCCGUUUGAUGAUUCCUUCCCUGAUAUGCAUGGCAAUAUGUUCAUGUUGAUACAAUUAAUCGAGUUCCUCAUAUCUGAUUACAUGAAAAUUUGGCUAUGUUGCGAGCAAUUUGACAGAAAAAUAUUUGAAGAAUGGGUGAGAUCUAUUCUGAAGGCACGCAAAGACCUGGAAGUCCUAGAAAACAUAAAUGGGCUGUAUGUAGUGUACAUUGAGCGAGUGGUCGGAAGGUUGGCGAGGGAGGUGGCUCCUGCUGCUCACGAGGGAAAGCUGGACCUGGAUGUCUUUUCCAAACUCCUGUGCUGAUCACUUCCAGCCUCAGACUUGAAAAUGAUGCUUACCUACAGAAAGAUUGUCCAGAAAGCUGGCAUUCUGUAACAUCUGUUCGCCACUGAACAGCCAGAAUCAAGACAUAACCAAAGAAUGUUUAAUUAUGUCAUCUUGUGAGUGUGUAUUUACUGCAAACCAGUUUGCUAUAACCAAGAACUCUGGCAGUGCUCUGGGGCAUAGCGAGGACAGCAAGCGGCAUGAAAGAUAUGCGGGGGAAUAGUGUGAGCAUGCUCAAAUAGCAUUAGGUUGGAGACACAAAAAGUUUGGACAUGAGUAGAAGUGCUUCCGCUCUUGUUUGGGGAAAGAAUGAAGUUUCACUCCUCACCCUAAGGCAAGCAGAUGAACCCUAGCAAGCUUUAUUGUUCAAAUCAGUGUUUGAGGAGUUACAUCACCUUUCUA